AGAGAUGCACUGGGUUUAAAGCGUGCGCAGGCGGUUUUGUAAGACAGAGGUGAAAUCCCCGGGCCCAACCUGGGAACUGCCUUUGUGACUGCAAGGCUGGAGUGCGGCAGAGGGGGAUGGAAUUCCGCGUGUAGCAGUGAAAUGCGUAGAUAUGCGGAGGAACACCGAUGGCGAAGGCAAUCCCCUGGGCCUGCACUGACGCUCAUGCACGAAAGCGUGGGGAGCAAACA
RNAcentral lists this ribosomal RNA (230 nucleotides) under uncultured Alicycliphilus sp. RNAcentral describes it as "partial 16S ribosomal RNA". It matches the Rfam family "Bacterial small subunit ribosomal RNA", at positions 548 to 774 of the family's 1533-position model. Lineage: Bacteria; Pseudomonadati; Pseudomonadota; Betaproteobacteria; Burkholderiales; Comamonadaceae. The record is from RNAcentral.